Molecule: long non-coding RNA, 1109 nt
Filed under: Pan paniscus (pygmy chimpanzee)
Lineage: Eukaryota; Metazoa; Chordata; Mammalia; Primates; Hominidae
Description: lncRNA (ENSPPAG00000045139.1)
Source: RNAcentral
ACCUGUUUAACCCUGAAUAAUUAUUAUACAAAUCCUCAUAACAAUGUGAUAUAAUUUCUAAUAGUGCAGAGACUACAGCCAAUAGAAGGAACCCAGCUGGGACAUUUAGGUGUAUUUACUCCCCUACAUUAACUCUGUUUACAAUACUUAGGGAAGUUGACAUGUCUUUACUAGAGAGAGAAGAAAAAUUGUUCUUUAAUGAGAACCCCCAGAUAUGCUAUGGUUCUCUUCAACAUAUUGUUUUUGUUUAGUUUAGUUAUUAUUUUUUAUCAGAUAAACCUAUUUUAUAAUGAUGUUUGUGAUUGUUUUGAUGUCCUAUACAACAUUUACUUCAUCAAGCAAGUUGCAAAUUGACCUUCCACUAGAUGAAAACAUCAGAUGUUCAGCUUAUAAGAAAGAACAUUCCAGGAUCCUCAGAAUGGGAAAGUGGAAGAUGGAAAGAGAAAACCAUAUGAAAAAAAGACACAAAUUUCUAAAAAAGCAUCCUGUCUUUGAAGAGUGGCAAAUACUAUUCUGUUUUUGAGUACAGAAAUAGAUCCAACUUGGAAUUAUAAAACAGAAUGUGCCUCAUCACUUGGACUUAACCAUAUGACUGGCUUUGACCAAUAAAAUAUAAGUGGAAAUUCUACUAUGCUACCUCCAAGAAAAGUCUUAAAGAAGUCUGGAAAAUUUCCACAUCUCUCUAUACAUGUCCUCUGUCCCCAAUCAGAAGAAAACAUACUAGGAAGUUGUUAAUUCUUUAGCUCAGAUCCUGGAAUGAAGACACCUGGAGUAUACUUGAAAGUCUGAAGUCCAGCUGACCCCCAGCUCAAAUUAGUGAAAGUACAGUCCACCAGCCAACCUGUGAGCAGUAAAUAAAUAUUUGUUUUAAGUUACUAUAUUCAGAAUAAUUGUACCAAAUUUAUCUCAAGUUAUCAGUUCUCCAGGGAUAGUAUGACAGCUACUUGUUGAGACCUUGGACACUUUUAUCUUUUAGGCACAAUAUAUUUAACUGACUUUCAUCUUCAAGCAAAGAGUUGUUCUCCAAAUGGCAAUUGGAAUUUGCAGGUAACAUUUCUAAUAUAUAUUUUGCCAAACUUACCUACAAUAGAGCCAUAAAACUAUAAUCU